RNAcentral lists this ribosomal RNA (253 nucleotides) under uncultured bacterium. RNAcentral's name for it is "partial 16S ribosomal RNA". It matches the Rfam family "Bacterial small subunit ribosomal RNA", at positions 524 to 776 of the family's 1533-position model. The record is from RNAcentral.
UACGGAGGGUGCAAGCGUUAUCCGGAUUCACUGGGUUUAAAGGGUGCGUAGGCGGACUCUUAAGUCGGGGGUGAAAUCCUGGAGCUCAACUCCAGAACUGCCUUCGAUACUGAGAGUCUUGAGUCCGGGAGAGGUGAGUGGAACUGCGAGUGUAGAGGUGAAAUUCGUAGAUAUUCGCAAGAACACCAGUGGCGAAGGCGGGUUGCUGGGCUGAUACUGACGCUGAGGCGCGAAAGCUAGGGGAGCGAACGGG